AUCUAUUUCUGGGUAAGUCCAUGUCCUGCACUGUCCGCUCAUGUCAGCUGGGUUGUGUAAAUUUUAGGUUGAGUCUCAACACAGGCAAGAUCCAGAAGAGUGUAUUUGAAAGCCAAUGGGGAAAUACAUCGUGAAUUUAGUCUCAGCUUUUGCCAGUCGCUCAGAAGGAUUGUUCUGCUUUGGAGACCCCACCAGUGCUUCAGCGAUGUAUCCAGUUUGUGCUCCUGCAGGAACAAGAAGCACGACAGACACGGUACAGAAGAAAUACAACACUCUGUCAUGGAUAUCUUACACAACUCCAGUCCUGCAGAUGUAGUUUGGAAUUCUGAAGCAUUAUUCAAGUGAGUCCCUUCAUAGGUUGUCCUCCAAAAGAACCUGCGUGUAGAUCCUGACAGGAGCAACAGAGAAACCUGUGGGGUCAUCGUUCAAGAUGCUGUGAGUGCCAAGUGUUUUUUUCCUGCUCCUUCCUCUUAAAUAUUUCCUUUUUCAUUUCUCUGUAUUGACUUGGUAUCCUUUCAAGCAGAUGGGGUCAUUUUUUUUCCUGGAACCGUGCAGGAUUUUCUGAACCAAAACUGUUACCAUCUUCCUGUCAUCUUUUCAUUGUCAAGAGACAAAGCCCUGUGCAGCAC
RNAcentral lists this long non-coding RNA (629 nucleotides) under Gallus gallus (chicken). Lineage: Eukaryota; Metazoa; Chordata; Aves; Galliformes; Phasianidae. The record is from RNAcentral.